Molecule: ribosomal RNA, 253 nt
Filed under: uncultured bacterium
Lineage: Bacteria
Description: partial 16S ribosomal RNA
Rfam family: Bacterial small subunit ribosomal RNA
Source: RNAcentral
UACGGGGGGGGUAAGCGUUGUUCGGAAUUACUGGGCGUAAAGGGCUCGUAGGCGGCCAACUAAGUCAUACGUGAAAUCCCUCAGCUUAACUGGGGAACUGCGUGUGAUACUGGAUGGCUUGGAUUUGGGAGAGGGAUGCGGAAUUCCAGGUGUAGCGGUGAAAUGCGUAGAUAUCUGGAAGAACACCGGUGGCGAAGGCGGCAUCCUGGACCAAUAUUGACGCUGAGGAGCGAAAGCCAGGGGAGCAAACGGG